AUUUAACCUGUGAAAAAGAGAGUAGUCGUUUGAAGGCCUGCAGAGAGCUGGGGAUGGUGGGAGCCCGGUGGUAAAAAAGCGAUGAACCGGACUUUUGAGGUAUAGCUCUGAAAGAAAGUACGGGCUAUCGGGACUUGCCGUUAUCAAGUACAUAAGCUGACCUUUCUUUUUCUGAAAGGUAAUGAGAGUGGCACCGCGGAAACGAUACCCGUCUCUCCU
This 219-nucleotide non-coding RNA is filed under the name Pontibacillus chungwhensis. RNAcentral's name for it is "T-box sequence". It matches the Rfam family "T-box leader". Rfam says of the family: Uncharged tRNA acts as the effector for transcription antitermination of genes in the T-box leader family. T-boxes are found upstream of many aminoacyl-tRNA synthetase genes and some amino acid biosynthetic genes usually in Gram-positive bacteria. The record is from RNAcentral. Lineage: Bacteria; Bacillati; Bacillota; Bacilli; Caryophanales; Bacillaceae.